Molecule: ribosomal RNA, 301 nt
Filed under: uncultured bacterium
Lineage: Bacteria
Description: partial 16S ribosomal RNA
Rfam family: Bacterial small subunit ribosomal RNA
Source: RNAcentral
CAGCCGCCGCGGUAAUACGUAAGGGGCGAGCGUUGUCCGGAAUUAUUGGGCGUAAAGGGCUCGCAGGCGGUUUCUUAAGUCUGAUGUGAAAGCCCACGGCUCAACCGUGGAGGGUCAUUGGAAACUGUUAAACUUGAGUGCAGGAGAGAAAAGUGGAAUUCCUAGUGUAGCGGUGAAAUGCGUAGAGAUUAGGAGGAACACCAGUGGCGAAGGCGGCUUUUUGGCCUGUAACUGACACUGAGGCGCGAAAGCGUGGGGAGCAAACAGGAUUAGAUACCCGCGUAGUCCCUGUCUCUUAUAC